CAUAUCAAUAAGCGGAGGUUAAUGACAAACAACAGGGAUUGCCUCAGUAGCGGCGAGUGAAGCGGCAAGAGCUCAGAUUUGAAAUCGUGCUUUGCGGCACGAGUUGUAGAUUGCAGGUUGGAGUCUGUGUGGAAGGCGGUGUCCAAGUCCCUUGGAACAGGGCGCCCAGGAGGGUGAGAGCCCCGUGGGAUGCCGGCGGAAGCAGUGAGGCCCUUCUGACGAGUCGAG
This 228-nucleotide ribosomal RNA is filed under the name Pichia kudriavzevii. Its description in RNAcentral is "partial large subunit ribosomal RNA". It matches the Rfam family "Eukaryotic large subunit ribosomal RNA", at positions 39 to 269 of the family's 3401-position model. Lineage: Eukaryota; Fungi; Ascomycota; Pichiomycetes; Pichiales; Pichiaceae. The record is from RNAcentral.